CGGGAGAGCGGAGGGUCGGCGAGGGUGCCUGCGCGCGGCUGGGCCUGGGGAUGCAGGUUCCAGCCUGCUUGCGCGUCUCACCUGAUUUAGGAGCUUCCAGAGGCCCCAGACAGUGCCUGUCUUUGCCUGACCGCGAAUCAAAGUUCCAUAGCCCGUGAGCGAAGGUACUCCCAGCAGUGGCGCAGAGACCAUCCUCAGUUCUGUGUGUGGAUGGGACCAGAGAAGCCGGCCGGCCGAGCUAAUGUUCUUCCCUUCCUGGAAGAGAGUAGUUUCCAAACAACCCGAUCUCUGUUCCUCUACUGGCUCCACAUAUGCUCUAAGUUCCUGUUACACUGUUGAGAGGCUCUUGAAUUAGAAACUAUCGAGUAUAAAUGGCAGUGGAAUAUCACUCUAUAGUUGUCACCGAUAUUUCCCUUACCUUGAGAUUGUGACAAGACCAGAAAGAGAAAAAGAGUAAAA
This 459-nucleotide long non-coding RNA is filed under the name Homo sapiens (human). RNAcentral's name for it is "HSALNT0183374". The record is from RNAcentral. Lineage: Eukaryota; Metazoa; Chordata; Mammalia; Primates; Hominidae.